This 1173-nucleotide ribosomal RNA is filed under the name Triticum aestivum (bread wheat). RNAcentral describes it as "partial small subunit ribosomal RNA". The record is from RNAcentral. Lineage: Eukaryota; Viridiplantae; Streptophyta; Magnoliopsida; Poales; Poaceae.
AUGUGGCCGUGGCUGGAGAAGAUUGCGUCCGCGUGCUGGGACCGGGUCCGGAGGUACGCGCCUACGAGUACGAGGAGGGAUGAGGACGGCGGCAGCGGCAGCGGCGCCGACGCCGACGACCUGCUGCUCUGGUCGCGGGACCUCGGGCGCCACGCGGCGGGGGACUUCUCCUUCGCCGUCGUGCAGGCCAACGAGGUGCUGGAGGACUACAGCCAGGUCGAGACCGGCGCCGCCGCCACCUUCGUCGGCGUCUACGACGGCCACGGCGGCGCCGAGGCCUCCCGCUUCAUAUCCAACCACCUCUCCGCGCACCUCGUCCGUCUUGCCCAAGAAAGCGGAGCAGUAUCUGAGAAUGUUGUCCGAAAUGCCUUUUCUGCUACAGAGGAAGGCUUCCUGUCGCUUGUGCGCAGGACACACCUGAUAAAACCUUCUAUAGCUGCCAUCGGAUCUUGCUGUCUGGUUGGUGUCAUAUGGAGAAAAACACUGUACCUGGCCAAUCUUGGCGAUUCUCGGGCGGUUGUCGGCUGUUUAGUUGGAUCAAACAAGAUUGUUGCCGAGCAGCUAACGAGAGACCACAACGCAAGCAUCGAGGAAGUGAGGCAGGAGCUUAAAUCUCUUCAUCCUGAUGAUUCACAGAUUGUUGUCCUGAAAAAUGGUGUCUGGCGCAUCAAAGGCAUUAUACAGGUUUCAAGGUCUAUAGGUGAUGCAUAUUUAAAGAAGCAAGAAUUCGCUGUUGAUCCGUCCAUAACUCGAUUCCAUCUCUCCGAGCCUCUCCGACGGCCUGUUCUAACUUCCGAGCCAUCAAUAAGUACGAGACUUAUUCGUCCACAAGAUAGUUUUGUUAUCUUUGCGUCGGAUGGAUUGUGGGAGCACCUUACGAACCAGCAAGCCGUCGAAAUCGUGCACAACAAUUCACGUGAAGGUAUUGCAAGGAGGCUGAUCAAAGCAGCUUUGAAAGAAGCUGCACGGAAGAGGGAAAUGAGGUACAACGAUAUUACGAAACUAGAGAAAGGGGUCCGUCGAUUCUUCCAUGAUGACAUCACAGUUGUUGUAGUUUUCAUUGAUCAUGGGCUACUGCAGGAGGGGAAUGCUUCUGCUCCUGAACUUUCAGUUCGUGGCUUUGUUGAGUCAGGAGGCUCCUCCAGCUUUUCAGGGUUAAAUAGCAUUUCUUGA